Molecule: long non-coding RNA, 655 nt
Organism: Helianthus annuus (common sunflower)
Lineage: Eukaryota; Viridiplantae; Streptophyta; Magnoliopsida; Asterales; Asteraceae
Exons: 3
Source: RefSeq, a predicted model, not a curated record
UUAGAGCCUCUAGGAAUGGGUUUUGGCGGGGAAACGAAAAUGCAGUCCAAAUCUUCAUGCAGAUCCUUUGUUUUGGUUAAACUGACCCAUUGAAUUCGGAUCAUUUAUAAUAACCUAUUUCCUCAGACCUUUUUCUUAUUUGAUCAUUACAAGUCGCCUUUUCCUCUCUCUAACCUCCUCGGUUCUCUCCCACUCUGAAGAUCAAAUCUUUUCACAAGCAAUACUGACCUUCAAUCUUCAGUGGAUUCAUCAUAAAACGAUUCACACUAUUGAAGAAUCACCAUUACAAUCUACAGUAUGGCUUUUUACAAGUCUAUGUCCGCACUAACUAAAGAAUUCUAGGUUAUACCACUUCAGUUUUGUAAGUUAUGGUUAUCUAAUGCCGGUGGUGAUAAUAUUGUGGUUAUAAAGUGCAUAAAUGAAAAGGAAUGGAAUGUAAAGUUUUCGAAGAACAAUGGUGCUUUUGCUUUUAUGGAAGGAUGGUCAAAGGUUGUGGCUGACCUUUCUUUAACUGAGGGAUAUAUACUUCUUUUCAGGCAACUUAAUCCCUUUAAUUAUCUACUCACACCUUUCUUCAAGAAAACACCUUAUCCAUGUUGUGAUCCAGAGCUCAGUUUGUUUACAUCGAUCUCCUCUUUGCCCAACAUAGACUUCA